This 402-nucleotide unclassified non-coding RNA is filed under the name soil metagenome. RNAcentral describes it as "partial contains 5.8S ribosomal RNA, internal transcribed spacer 2, and large subunit ribosomal RNA". The stretch from base 1 to 121 matches the Rfam family "5.8S ribosomal RNA", at positions 35 to 154 of the family's 154-position model. The record is from RNAcentral.
GAUGAAGAACGUAGCGAAAUGCGAUAAGUAAUGUGAAUUGCAGAAUUCAGUGAAUCAUCGAAUCUUUGAACGCACCUUGCACCCUUUGGCUAUUCCGAAGGGUAUGCCUGUUUGAGUAUCAUGAACACCUCAACUCUCAUGGUUUGCCAUGAUGAGCUUGGACUUUGGGGGUCUUGCUGGCCUGUGGACAGCUCCUCUCAAAUGGAUUAGCUUGCCAGUGUUUGGUGGCAUCACAGGUGUGAUAACUAUCUACGCUUGUGGUUUUCCACCAGGUAACCUUCAGCAAUGGGGGUUCGCUGGGGCUCAUAAAUGUCUCUCCUCAGCGAGGACAGCUCUUUGAACGUUUGAUCUCAAAUCAGGUAGGACUACCCGCUGAACUUAAGCAUAUCAAUAAGCGGAGGA